GGUUUUAAUUUUUACUUGUUAUUUAAAGGGAGUCUGAGCAUCUUUUCACGUUUCAGAAACAAUGUUUCCUAUUUUGUUAGACACGUAAGUUUUGCACACCCAGUAAAUGUCUAUAGAGAGACGAUCCUCCUGGCGUGGGCAGGCGGGGGAGGCCCGGGGAGCACUGCAGUCGCCUGCCUGCUCAUGUUCUGGGCCCCAGGCCUCUCUGAUGUCCCAGCUCCGGGCCGCCCCCUGCUGCGCCCCCAAGGCCUGUGAAGCUCCUGCUCAGCUGCUUACUGCCCCCCGGACCCCGCCGUGACCGCCGGCCCAGAGCCAGGCCCAGCAGAGGGGGCUGUGCUGGCACCGUCAAGACCUGGUAGCAGACCCACAGAGGCCCCGACGUAAACCCAGACCCAAAUGUAAACCCGGGCCUCAGACGUCAACCUCGGCCCUGAGGUGGGCGGAGCUCCGGCCUGGAGAGGCGAUCCCGGUCUGCGGAGGGCGCGCAGAGCGAGGAUGGCGCCGUGGUCUCCAGAAGCGCCUGGCGGCCCCGUGCGUCCGGGGUCCGCCCCUCAACGGCGCCACGACCAGCACCCGGCACUCGCACCGAGACCCUCACGCCGAGACCCGUCUAUGUCCAGGAGUGAACCGCCAUUUUGGAGAGAGGCCCACACGUGAGGGAGCAGCAGGUGGUCUCUGUCAGCUGAGUGCCUGAGUCCAACAACUACAAGGGAAUAAAUUACAACAAUGACCACGUGUGCUGAGAAGAGGACCAGAGCCUCCAGCCCGGGCCAGCACUUGUAAUGCAGCCUCGUGAGGCCUGAGCAGAGGACCCAGCUAACCUGUACCUGACCCACAGAAACACUCCUGGCCUCUUCUGGUGAAGAAAUAUCCACAUGUCAGCUGGGAUUGCUGCAUCAUCAGAGAUCCUUCUAGAAGCUGCCGAGGAGCUUGGGGAAGUUGUUGGUGUUGUCAGCAAAGAGCUUCCACAUGAACAGGGAAGGUCAUAGCGCAACCUUCAAACAGUAUUGCCCAGCAUCUCACGAAUCUAAUAGGAAUCCAGUGAAUUUGAUGCCAUGACUGCGUGCAGUUGAAGAAGACAGAGGUUAAACCCAAAAGGGUCAAGCCGUCACCUCAAAUGAGUGUUACAGAAGAGACACUCCAAAUCCUCUUCACCUAAAUUCACCUCACUCACAUCUUUCCCACGUGGUGUAAAUGGGUGAUUCCUAGAUGCACAGGCUGGAGAUGUUGCCUUGUCACAGCCCUUCAUCUUAGAAAAAGUGAGUAACAUGAAGUCCAGAGGAGUUAAAUCACCCAGUGUAAGGUUCUCAAGACAUCAGAACUCAAGCAAGAUACGAGCACUGUCUGUCUAGUGCUCCAAUUUCAAAAGAAACCUUAUAACCUUACAAGGCCUACGGUUAGGAAAUUGCCUUUAGGACGUCGUGAUGGGAGUCUCCUGGCAUUGCUCUUCCAGGCUGGCGUGGUCUAUCAAGGUGGACCUGGGGAGCAAAGAUUGGCCCAAAGGAUUGGGCCUCUUCAGGAAGUGGAAUGGAACCACAGCAGCUCCAAGCCUCUGGACAACAGAGCCUGGAAUUGAUCUGAAAAGGCAGAGCGCCUGCAGUCAGAUCUCUGGAAACCUGUGUAAUUUAACCAAGGAGGAGAAAGAUCUAUACUAGAAGAUGUUAAUGAGGGAAACUGAAGAAGAUACAACUAAAUAGAAAGAUAUCUCAUGUUCAUGGAUUAGAAGAAAUAAUACUGUUAAAAUGUCUAUACUAUCCCAAAUAAUCUACAGAUUUGAUGCAAUCCCUAUCAAAAUCCCAAUGGGAUUUUUUACUGAAAUAGAAAAAAAAAUCCUAAAAUUUCUAUGAAACCAUCAAAGACCCCAAAUAGCCAAAGAAAUCUUGAGAAAUAAGAACAAAGCUGGAGGCAUCACACUUUCUGAUUUCAGACUAUAUACAAAGCUAUAAUAAUCAGAACAGUAUGGUAUUGGUAUUCCAAAAAAGGAUAUAUAGUUCAAUAGAACAGAAUAGAAAGCCCAGAAAUAAACUCACACAUAAAUGGUCAAUUAAUUUAUGGCAAUGGAGCCAAGACUAAAAAGUGGGGAACAAUCUCUUCAAUAAGUGGUCCUGGGAAAACUAGAUAGCCACACGAAAAGUGUGAAACUGAACCCUUAUCUUCUAUCACAUGAGAAAAUCAACUCAAAAUGGACUGAAGACUUAAACGUAAGACCUUGAACCGUAAAACUCCCAGAAGAAAAUAUAAGAGGUAAGCUUCUUAACCUCAGUAUUGGCAAAAUUUUUUUUAAAUUUAACACCAAUUGCAUAGGCAACAAAAGCAAAAAUAAACAAGUGGGACUACAUCAAACUAAAAAGCUUCUGCUCAGCAAAGGAAACCAUCAACAAAAUGAAAAGGCAAU
This is a long non-coding RNA of Equus caballus (horse), 2395 nucleotides long. The record is from Ensembl. Lineage: Eukaryota; Metazoa; Chordata; Mammalia; Perissodactyla; Equidae.